GGGUUUCUUUGGGACGGAUGCGGUCGGCCCCGUCUUUGCGCUUUACGCAACAGGUAGGGAUGCCAGGAGCUGGCGGCGGCGGCACGGAGCCGCAGCCAGGAGGUUUCGGGGGGCUUUUUUUGUUACGUUCUCUGGAAAAGUGCGAAGGGGAGGGGGAGGAGAACCAACAGUUUUCCGAAAUUCCCCUUCAGUUGUUUAUUUAUGUACUUCCCGUGUCCAUGAAAAACGGGUUCGUUUCGCAACUCCGGAGUUUUAUAUUGUUUUCUAUCUACUUUUUACCCCCCUUUUCUUUCUUUUAAAGUUAUUUUUCUUUAUGUCCUGCGUUUGCCCGUCUCAUUCCGGCAGAUCAAACUGUCCGAAAGCAGAUCCCCAGAGGCUUGUCCUCACUGACAGUCGGGGGAAUCCAAACAAAGAGGUGCAUCUACCGGAAAUAAUGAUUUGAGAGAUGGUUCUCUCCCUUUCCACCCCCCACUCCCCCGCCUUGAAUUAAAUUGUUUUCUUUUUCUGGGAGGUUCAGUUCGAGGGAAGUUUUGCGCCGGAGCCGGGGUCGGGGCUGAGGAGGGAUGGAGCAGACGGAAAGUUGCGGUGGUGGGAGGAGGCGGGGGGCGAGGGCAGUACGGGACCCCGGCGGCGCCCGGACCGCGGGGGGAGCAGGGGCGCGGGGGACCUGCCGCCGCUGCCGGCUCUUUGUCUGCUCGGGCAACUUGAACAAAAGGAGAAACUCGGAUGAACUCUCCAUCUCUUCCUCGCCUCUCCCGGGUAAACUCAUCUUCGGCAACUUUAUCGGAAGAGAUUUGCUCAACUUUCUUGGAGCUCUCCCGCCGCUUAAAAGCAAAGAGCCCCGCCGUAGGCUUCUGAGGAAAUCUAGUUUCGCAGUUUAGAGAAAGGAGAAGGUCACAACAUGAUUGUUGGGAAAAUGGGAUGGUUGCCAGAACAUCAGUGUGUGAUGGGUGCCAUAUUGCAUUACUCUUCAAAUGGUGGAAUACAGCUUGGGAUUCCUCAGGGCUGCUUGUUGUGGUUCCAACUGGACCAUACAGCUGCUUAAUGUCUUAGCUUAGUUUGGAUUCAUACUAAUGGUUAAUGGCCUCCUGCGGGAAGUGGAAGAGCCCCAUGCUGAAACUUGUGGAUAUUGUGGAACGUGCUGCUGAGACCCAUUUGGAUUAUAUCACCAUCUGACACCAAGGUUCUGCAGCUGAUGAAAGGAGUUUACCAGAUCUUUUUAUGUGGUUGCUGAGGCAUUGCCCUGGGAGAGCAGUAAUGAGGGAUGGAUGAACAGAACACACUCCAGGCUUGGGUCACACAGAAAUGUGAGGAUUUACACUUCUGAAAUAGAUGUGAAUGGGAUUGAAGGAAUUACGCGGAGGAUUAUGAACUCCCCUUCUUCCUGAUCCGGGAAAGAUGAAGUCCUGCUCUGAGACCACCUCUGGUUAUGAUCCACAUGUGCUACUGAAGCUGGCUAGAAUGGUGUGACAAAUGACUUCACUUCUUAUUUGUUUGAUGUUUCCUAGAGAACUCCAAACACAGCUGAGGACAUACUUGACUCUGAUGCAGUGAUACAGAUACAUCUAAAUAUGAGCAAAAUGAAGCUUGCAAUGCUUAUGAUUGUGUAUUUUACUCUGGCAUUUAUGUAACACUUCAGAUUAUUGUGCUAGCAUUUCAGAUGCUUCAGUUUCUCCUCAUCACCAUUGUCCUUAAAACUGGCUCUGUAAAUAUUGGGCCAGAAGCAAGAGAUGCAUUGGAGCUUUUUUAUGUAAUCCCUAUAGCAGGGAUUGUCCAGAUUAGGUCUCUACAGAGAGGGCAUUUGGCUUUCAGACCUGUACUUUAUUUACACAUGGAGUAACCUCAUCAAGUGAGGGUGGUGUGCUCUUACUGCUGCUCAUCACAGCCUUGCAGGGGGGAAAAGGAGGCUGGCAGAUCUCUGUGUGAUAUCAUUUACAGGACACUGGAGAUGGUGGAAGAACCAGAAAGCUACCCUGCUCUUCCAUGGUGUAAACUACUGCUGAAAAUCAUAAAGAAGAAGAAAAAAACCUUGAUUUGUAGUUCUGAAUAAAGUGACAUUAAGAGGACAGAUGCUUCCUUGUCACAUGAUACUUAAGAGAUUCUGAUAAUGUAUCCAAAGCAACUCCAUCUUCAAGGGGAAAAAAAGAAAAUCAUGCCAAAUCUGAUAGUCUUCUGAUGUGUUCCGUUAGUUGUGGAUUUCCACAAGGAUUCUUCAAGCCCAAAACUAAUUAUUAUGAAAAGCAGUGGCCUUAUUCAAGAUGUCACAAGGUAACAGAAGCAUGUCAAAGUGGUACAGUUUGUGCUGAAAUCUAACUAUUCUACAGCAGCUGAAAGGGUUGAAGAUAACCCUCUUCAUCAGAGGUAUAUUAGAAAUUAUUUGUAACAGCGGCUCCAGUGUUUGGCCUAUGGUCUUCAGAGAAGUUUAGAAAAGUAUUUUCACACAGUAUGUGCCCAAAGUUUUUUUUUCAAACUAUCCUCUGCAUUUUAUUUAAGUCAUGUAAAAUUUGUAACUGGAGACUACAGACCAACUGCCCAUCCAAAGUAAGCAGCAAUAUUAGCUGGAGAAGAAGGAAUGAAAACCAGAUUAAGCUGCUAGAAUAUUUUCUUUCAUUUGUAUGACAGUGCUUUAUGAGAGUUCCAGCUGAAAAUGAGGGCCUAUAUAGUUUGAUUCAAUACAAAAGCAGUGCACAGUGUGUAGAGAGAACACAGAGAGUACAUGCAGUAAUUGUUUGACCUGAGAUAUUUGUAUAAAGAGUUGUGGGAAAAAGAAGCAAUAAAGGUGUUGAUUCUGUUACAAUUAAAAUAAAAGUACAUGAAGUUUUACUUUAAUUCCUCUAAUUUUGCUUUUUAUUUGAGAAGGGUGUGAGAAGUUUGAUUUUAAUCUGGACUAGCCUAAAGCAGCUGCGUUAUUUCAACAUGCUUUUACUUUCAGGCUCUGUAAUAUGGUAGUCUAUGACAAGAGAAGAAUGACAGCCUAGAAAGAGCAAAUGUUCCCUUGAUGAGCACCACCAAAGUUUUUAUUGACCCCAUGGAACACUUUCCCUAAGCAGGCAAUUCAGCUUCUCAAAAUAGUAGCUGUAAUGAUGGUCAGUAACAUUUACAUGCGUAAAAUGGAUAAUUCCUCACUUAGGAUGAAUUUAGACCUGCUGUAGUGGGUUUAACUUUGAAUUCAAAUGAUUUGCACAUGCCUGUGUCAUGGCAGAGUGUGAUCACCUCAGCUUUUUAAAGUUAGAUUGUUGAAGAUAUUGAAGCAAAUAUUUUGGAAAUAUAUUUCCUAAUCAUAGAAUUCCUUUUUCACUAAGGAUGUGGCUUUGAUCAAUUAUUUAUUUAACUGUUCUCAAACAUAUUUACACUUUUCAAAACCUUUCUUUGUUCAGUUUGUGCCCAAACUGCAUAUCCUUGUCACCAGCUUCUGCAGAAAGUCUGAGGGAAGUGGCAGCUGCAGUUCUGUGCAGCUCCAAAAGAUGAAACAACCUGAGGGAAACAAGUAUGAGAUUUGAUUUUUUUAUCUCCUUUUAUUUUGUGAGUGUUCACUGCAUUAGAAUAUCCUCACCAGUAACCCUCCUGCAGUUAUCAAAUGUCUCAGCUUUGUUUCAGUGCUUAACCAGUUGUA
Long non-coding RNA from Passer domesticus (house sparrow), 3613 nucleotides. RefSeq lists it as uncharacterized. The transcript is spliced from 8 exons. The record is from RefSeq and is a predicted model, not a curated record. NCBI's taxonomy places the organism in Eukaryota, Metazoa, Chordata, Aves, Passeriformes, Passeridae.